AUUCCAGCUCCAAUAGCGUACACUAAAGUUGUUGCAGUUAAAAAGCUCGUAGUCUAAUGUAUGGGAGUUGCGGUGUGGGUGUUUGGUUGGUUUUGCCGACUAGACAAUACUCGCUCCGCUUCCCGCUUGUUUUGCUCUCUUUUCUAGAAGGCAAAUGUUUCACUGUAAGUAAAACAACUCGCUCAACAGCAAGGUUAUCUUGAUAUGAAUUAGUAUGGGAUGAUGAGAUAGGCUCGGUCCGUAUUUUGUUGGUUUUAGUGGUCUGAGAAUGAUGAAGAGGGACAAUUGGGGGUAUUCGUAUUUACAUGUCAGAGGUGGAAUUCUUGGAUUUUGGAAAGACGAACUAAUGCGAAAGCAUCUACCAAAGAUGUUUUCAUCA
RNAcentral lists this ribosomal RNA (379 nucleotides) under Thraustochytrium sp. Its description in RNAcentral is "partial small subunit ribosomal RNA". It matches the Rfam family "Eukaryotic small subunit ribosomal RNA", at positions 582 to 975 of the family's 1831-position model. Lineage: Eukaryota; Bigyra; Thraustochytrida; Thraustochytriidae. The record is from RNAcentral.